This 301-nucleotide ribosomal RNA is filed under the name uncultured bacterium. Its description in RNAcentral is "partial 16S ribosomal RNA". It matches the Rfam family "Bacterial small subunit ribosomal RNA", at positions 509 to 807 of the family's 1533-position model. The record is from RNAcentral.
CAGUAGCCGCGGUAAGACAGAGGAUGCAAGCGUUAUCCGGAAUGAUUGGGUGUAAAGCGUCUGUAGGUGGAUUUUCAAGUCCGCCGUCAAAUCCCAGGGCUCAACCCUGGACAGGCAGUGGAAACUACCAAGCUGGAGUACGGUAGGGGCAGAGGGAAUUUCCGGUGGAGCGGUGAAAUGCGUAGAGAUCUGGAGGAAUACCGAUGGCGAAGGCAGCCAUCUGGCCUAAUACUGACGCUGAGGUACGAAAGCAUGGGGAGCAAACAGGAUUAGAUACCCCAGUAGUCCCUGUCUCUUAUAC